GAUGAACGCUAGCGGCAGGCUUAACACAUGCAAGUCGAGGGGCAGCACGUCUUCGGAUGGUGGCGACCGGCGCACGGGUGAGUAACGCGUAUGCAAUCUACCUUUUACAGGGGCAUAGCCCGGGGAAACCCGGAUUAAUAUCCUAUAGUACCAUUAUAUAGCAUUAUAUUAUGGUUAAAGUUUCGGCGGUAAAAGAUGAGCAUGCGUCCUAUUAGCUUGAUGGUAAGGUAACGGCUUACCAUGGCUAUGAUAGGUAGGGGUCCUGAGAGGGAGACCCCCCACACUGGUACUGAGACACGGACCAGACUCCUACGGGAGGCAGCAGUGAGGAAUAUUGGACAAUGGGCGAGAGCCUGAUCCAGCCAUGCCGCGUGCAGGAAGACGGCCCUAUGGGUUGUAAACUGCUUUUAUACGGGAAGAAACACCCCUUCGUGAAGGGACUUGACGGUACCGUAUGAAUAAGGAUCGGCUAACUCCGUGCCAGCAGCCGCGGUAAUACGGAGGAU
RNAcentral lists this ribosomal RNA (506 nucleotides) under uncultured bacterium. RNAcentral's name for it is "bacterial SSU rRNA". It matches the Rfam family "Bacterial small subunit ribosomal RNA", at positions 28 to 533 of the family's 1533-position model. The record is from RNAcentral.